ACAGAUUGAAAGCUCUUUCUGAUUUUGUGAUGGUGGUGCAUGGUCCGUUUUUUAGUUGGUGGAUUGAUUUGUCUGGUUAAUUCCGAAAACGAACGAGACCUUAACCUGUUAACUAUGUGAUGUUAAAAAUUCGACUUCGGUCUCAAUAUUUGAUAUUAAAAAUUUAAUACUUCUUAAAGGAACAAUUCAAACUUUAAUUGAAUGGAAGUUUUAAGGCAAAAACAGGUCUGUGAUGCCCUUCGAUGUUCUGGGCUGCACGCGCGUUACACUGAUAUGUUCAAUGAGUUUUUAAAUUUCCUAGUCUGAAAAGACGUGGUAAACUUAGAAAAACAUAUCGUGAUUGGAAUAGUAUUUUGUAAUUAUCGCACUUGAACGAGGAAUUCCUAGUAGGGGCAAUUCAUCAAAUUGCCCCGAUUACGUCCCCGCCCUUUGUACACACCGCCCGUCGCUUCUACCGAUUGAAUAAUGCGAUGAGGAUUCAGGAUCGAUUAGAAUUAAUUGUUUGAAAGGAUAAUUAAGACUAGUUGCUAAUUUAUUCAAAUCUUAUUAUUUAGAGGAAGGAG
This 563-nucleotide ribosomal RNA is filed under the name uncultured eukaryote. RNAcentral's name for it is "bacterial SSU rRNA". It matches the Rfam family "Eukaryotic small subunit ribosomal RNA", at positions 1243 to 1785 of the family's 1831-position model. The record is from RNAcentral.